Molecule: ribosomal RNA, 459 nt
Filed under: uncultured bacterium
Lineage: Bacteria
Description: partial 16S ribosomal RNA
Rfam family: Bacterial small subunit ribosomal RNA
Source: RNAcentral
CCUACGGGAGGCAGCAGUGAGGAAUAUUGGUCAAUGGGCGGAAGCCUGAACCAGCCAAGUAGCGUGCGGGAUGAAGGCCCUACGGGUCGUAAACUGCUUUUGCACGGGGAUAACACCCUCCACUUGUGGAGGUCUGCAGGUACCGUGCGAAUAAGGGCCGGCUAAUUCCGUGCCAGCAGCCGCGGUAAUACGGAAGGCCCGAGCGUUAUCCGGAUUCAUUGGGUUUAAAGGGAGCGUAGGCGGGCGUUAAAGUCAGCUGUAAAAGCGCGCGGCUAAACCGAGCCCUGCAGUUGAGACUGGAAGCCUUGAGUACACAACAGGCAGGCGGAAUUCGUGGUGUAGCGGUGAAAUGCAUAGAUAUCACGAAGAACCCCGAUUGCGAAGGCAGCCUGCCGGAGUGCGACUGACGCUGAGGCUCGAAGGUGCGGGUAUCAAACAGGAUUAGAUACCCGAGUAGUC